This 364-nucleotide ribosomal RNA is filed under the name Tuber walkeri. RNAcentral's name for it is "eukaryotic LSU rRNA". The stretch from base 1 to 123 matches the Rfam family "5.8S ribosomal RNA", at positions 32 to 154 of the family's 154-position model. Lineage: Eukaryota; Fungi; Ascomycota; Pezizomycetes; Pezizales; Tuberaceae. The record is from RNAcentral.
AUCGAUGAAGAACGCAUCGAAAUGCGAUAAGUAAUGUGAAUUGCAGAAUUCAGUGAAUCAUCGAAUCUUUGAACGCACAUUGCGCCCUUUGGUAUUCCUUAGGGCACGCCUGUUCGAGCGUCACUAAAAACCCCAUCACAUUAUGUGUGGUAUUGGCAGAAGUGGGUAGUCCCACCCUGCUGGAAUGAAUAGGCUGGAAAAGUAGACCAUAGCAACAKACUUWCAGAGUGUUUUURAAUGCUAAAUUAGUUUGAAGCCGGUUGGAACCCCAGGGCCAUUUGACCCCCAUUGUGCAUGAAGCAGUAAGGUUGACCUCGGAUCAGGUAGGGAUACCCGCUGAACUUAAGCAUAUCAAUAAGCGGAG